Neolamprologus brichardi is the source of this 565-nucleotide long non-coding RNA. RefSeq lists it as uncharacterized. NCBI's taxonomy places the organism in Eukaryota, Metazoa, Chordata, Actinopteri, Cichliformes, Cichlidae. The record is from RefSeq and is a predicted model, not a curated record.
AACUUCAGAGAGAGAUCCGACUGUUCGCCAAGGUCUGAGUGAAGCCUUAUCGGGGCCUUGAGCUGGCCGGAGGUUUCUGUCUGGUAGGUGUGCGGAGGAUACAAGAGAGGACCCAGGAGAGCGAGACACGUCGGGGAGGUACUGCGUCACGUUGUCCGACACGAACACGAUGCUGCCCUCCCGGUUUACCACGAACAGGAAGCCAUCCAGAGCCUGGAGCAGAGCGGCCGGAAGUUACCAACGGCCAGGUGGCCAAUCGUAAGCAUUGAUAAAAAGCACGUGAUUGACAGGGGAGGAGAGCUGGGCUCACCUGCAGCAGAAGUGGACCCAGGUGGUCCUUGUCGAUGACCCCCUGACCAGUUGAGGACACGUCUGACUUUUGAACGUCGUCAUCGUUGGAUGAAGCUUUACCUGGAGGAGAGGGAAUGAAUCACAACAAUAAAUAAAUAAAUCGAUGACAUCACACGCAGUCAGUUCAAGCCCAGCUGUUUUCAAAGAAGAAAAAAAAAGAGCAAAGGAGAAACAAGAGACUGACAAACAUAAACAUGUCUCGUCGGCCGCCUCC